GGCUGGUAUAUAUAUAUAUAUAUAUACAUAUAUAUUUAUAUAUAUACAAC
This is a non-coding RNA of Caenorhabditis elegans, 50 nucleotides long. The record is from Ensembl. NCBI's taxonomy places the organism in Eukaryota, Metazoa, Nematoda, Chromadorea, Rhabditida, Rhabditidae.